Molecule: ribosomal RNA, 370 nt
Filed under: uncultured bacterium
Lineage: Bacteria
Description: bacterial SSU rRNA
Rfam family: Bacterial small subunit ribosomal RNA
Source: RNAcentral
GUAGGGUGCGAGCGUUAAUCGGAAUUACUGGGCGUAAAGCGUGCGCAGGCGGUUUUGUAAGCCAGAUGUGAAAGCCCCGGGCUUAACUUGGGAAUGGCAUUUGGGACUGCAAGGCUUGAGUGCGGCAGAGGAGACUGGAAUUCCUGGUGUAGCAGUGAAAUGCGUAGAUAUCAGGAGGAAUACCGAUGGCGAAGGCAGGUCUCUGGGCUGACACUGACGCUCAUGCACGAAAGCGUGGGGAGCAAACAGGAUUAGAUACCCUGGUAGUCCACGCCCUAAACGAUGUCGACUGGUUGUUGGGGGUUUGACACUCUCAGUAACGAAGCUAACGCGUGAAGUCGACCGCCUGGGGAGUACGGCCGCAAGGUUA